CAGAGAAUAAUUUAAUUAGAAUGUUAGCUUUGGGAGUUAUUAGUGGGAGUUAAAAUCUCUCUUCUUUGA
RNAcentral lists this transfer RNA (69 nucleotides) under Zenarchopterus dispar (feathered river-garfish). RNAcentral describes it as "tRNA-Pro". It matches the Rfam family "tRNA". From Rfam's summary of the family: Transfer RNA (tRNA) molecules are approximately 80 nucleotides in length. Their secondary structure includes four short double-helical elements and three loops (D, anti-codon, and T loops). Further hydrogen bonds mediate the characteristic L-shaped molecular structure. tRNAs have two regions of fundamental functional importance: the anti-codon, which is responsible for specific mRNA codon recognition, and the 3' end, to which the tRNAs corresponding amino acid is attached (by aminoacyl-tRNA synthetases). tRNAs cope with the degeneracy of the genetic code in two manners: having more than one tRNA (with a specific anti-codon) for a particular amino acid; and 'wobble' base-pairing, i.e. permitting non-standard base-pairing at the 3rd anti-codon position. Lineage: Eukaryota; Metazoa; Chordata; Actinopteri; Beloniformes; Zenarchopteridae. The record is from RNAcentral.